UAUUGCGUAAGAUUGAGUGUCAACAUGAUUGUUGCAGUGAGAUGACGGAAUGAAAUUUUAUAUAUUUUUAUAUUUGUAUUGCUAGAAUAGAUUCGGCUUCUCUUUUAGUAAAGAAAAAUGAAAUAACCCGACAAUGUCAAAACUUUUAGUAUGUCUGUGCUUAUUGAUUCUGAUAAUCCUACAGCUAGCUGAUUCGGAAAAGGACAAGCUUCUCGAAAUGGCAGUUCUUCAAAAAGAGUUGUGAUCACAAGCAGCAAUAGACUGAGGCUCACCUUCAACGACGAGCAGGGAAUCAUGGCGUGGCUCUUCUGGUGAAUUUGCCGAGGGAUUCUCAAGCCGGUUGGUAGCAAGCCUCGGUCGAUUGUCUACUUCGCAGAGGGUUCAAACUUAAAAUUCUGGAGUUGCUCAUUGAUGUUGGCAUAAGUGGAUGAGCAUAACAGAUUAGAAAGAUUUUCAGGACUCUACAAAUUCUUUAUUACUUUUCUUAUUUCACAUUAUUGUUUUAUUUUGCAGCUAAUAAUUGCAACAAAACCGGAUCCAGAGCAUAUGAGAAAUCGCCAAAAAUUGUAACUGAAGACAACAUCAAGUUACUUUUUUUAAUACAGAAAAAGGUUGAUGCAAUCCAAGCAAAUUAUUCUGGCUUACUAAUAUCACUAACGGACAUAUGCAUGAAGCCGUUACGCCAGGAUUGUGCAACUCAAAGUGUGCUGCAGGUGCUUAAGGAUGCAAAUGGUCUUGAUAUAGUUGCAGAAGAUGAGUCAGCAGGCUUCGAAUCUAAAUACAUCAAGAAGUCCUCUUGGCACGCUUGAUACCAAUAUAUCUCAUAACGAACAAAUGAAAAAAAAAUCGAUUCUGAGUUGAUGAAAAGGAAUUCUGCGAUGCCAGAGGUUGUAAAAAAAUCUGUACCAGAAGGGGAAGUUGAAGCGGGUGGCUGGGUUCAUCUUGGUCCAGAACAUGGAGUAGGUGUUGUCCCAAAAAUGGUCGGGAUGCAUUUUUUCAGAAGAUGAACCACUGGAAGUAGUUGUUUGAAGGUAGUCUUUGGUGACUUUGAGGACAGUCUUUGAUGUAGUAGUCAGGCUCCCGGACGGAGGGAAUGGGAAGGCAAUAUCAACCUCAAUAUCCAAAUCAAGAAAAGUAUAAGUGGUCAUCAGAAAUCCUUCCUUCAGUAAAAGGCAUAUGAGCAAUACACACUAAUUAGAAAUCCGAAGGCAGACACUGGAUACAUCUUUGCAGUAUGUAUUUCGGACUUUUAAACGUACCUCAAGUCCUUUUUAAUUAUGUUAGUUGGCAGGUGCAAAGAGAUCCGGUCCUCCUUGAGCAAACCUAAAUUGAGAAAAUGGACUAGCUGCUGAAGUUAUUCAGAAGAUUGAAAAUGUGCACCCCAAUUCACAUACCACAUGUGCGGGUACUAAUGGUCGGAAGAGGAACAAAGAAAAUCAAUCAGAUGCUUCACUUGCUGGUAUUCGUCAACAAGGUUCUGGAAAUGCUCUGGAUUUGUUCCUACAAAGACGCGCUGAAAGUAUUAAGAGAUCCAGGACCAUCGGCACUUCGUCAGAGUUCGACAAAAACAACACAG
This is a long non-coding RNA of Daucus carota subsp. sativus, 1576 nucleotides long. RefSeq lists it as uncharacterized. The transcript has 9 exons. The record is from RefSeq and is a predicted model, not a curated record. NCBI's taxonomy places the organism in Eukaryota, Viridiplantae, Streptophyta, Magnoliopsida, Apiales, Apiaceae.